RNAcentral lists this ribosomal RNA (409 nucleotides) under Fusobacteriota bacterium. RNAcentral's name for it is "Fusobacteria bacterium partial 16S ribosomal RNA". It matches the Rfam family "Bacterial small subunit ribosomal RNA", at positions 355 to 776 of the family's 1533-position model. Lineage: Bacteria; Fusobacteriati; Fusobacteriota. The record is from RNAcentral.
UGGGGAAUAUUGCACAAUGGAGGGAACUCUGAUGCAGCAACGCCGCGUGCGGGAUGACGGCCUUCGGGUUGUAAACCGCUUUCAGCCAUGACGAAGCUGUUGUGACGGUAGUGGUAGAAGAAGCACCGGCCAACUACGUGCCAGCAGCCGCGGUGAUACGUAGGGUGCGAGCGUUGUCCGGAAUUAUUGGGCGUAAAGAGCUUGUAGGCGGUAUGUCGCGUCGAUAGUGUAAACACGCAGCUUAACUGUGUGCCGGCUGUCGAUACGGGCUGACUAGAGGAGAGUAGGGGAGGAUGGAAUUCCCGGUGGAGCGGUGGAAUGCGCAGAUAUCGGGAGGAACACCAGUGGCGAAGGCGGUUCUCUGGACCUUUCCUGACGCUGAGAAGCGAAAGCGUGGGUAGCAAACAGG